Eutrema salsugineum is the source of this 107-nucleotide small nucleolar RNA. It matches the Rfam family "Plant small nucleolar RNA R71". From Rfam's summary of the family: R71 is a member of the C/D box family of snoRNAs containing the C (UGAUGA) and D (CUGA) box motifs. Multiple nearly identical copies of this snoRNA have been identified in Arabidopsis, and it is thought to function as a 2'-O-ribose methylation guide for 18S ribosomal RNA. Lineage: Eukaryota; Viridiplantae; Streptophyta; Magnoliopsida; Brassicales; Brassicaceae. The record is from Rfam.
AAGCCGUGGUGUGGGCAUUGGUUAGUGUAGCUUCUAAACCGUUCCCCAGCUUCACUAAAGCUCUCGUUAUUGUGCUGCGUGAAACUUGAGAUCUGAUUCCUGAGCUU